UUAUGGUAGGGCUUCACACGUCAUACAAUGGUCGGUACAGAGGUUGCCAACCCGCGAGGGGGAGCUAAUCCCACAAAGCCGAUCGUAGUCCGGAUCGCAGUCUGCAACUCGACUGCGUGAAGUCGGAAUCGCUAGUAAUCGUGGAUCAGCAUGUCACGGUGAAUACGUUCCCGGGUCCUU
Molecule: ribosomal RNA, 180 nt
Filed under: uncultured Rhodocyclaceae bacterium
Lineage: Bacteria; Pseudomonadati; Pseudomonadota; Betaproteobacteria; Rhodocyclales; Rhodocyclaceae
Description: partial 16S ribosomal RNA
Rfam family: Bacterial small subunit ribosomal RNA
Source: RNAcentral